Vicugna pacos (alpaca) is the source of this 528-nucleotide non-coding RNA. Lineage: Eukaryota; Metazoa; Chordata; Mammalia; Artiodactyla; Camelidae. The record is from RefSeq and is a predicted model, not a curated record.
UCAAGGCCACUUCCCAGACCUACCCUUCCCAAAGUUCGUGUUCAUUUUAGAUUUAUAAUUGUGUGCUCUUUUACUUUACCAGGAGGGUCCCCAAAGUGCCUAAUAUCUGAGCUCCAGAAAACAGGAUCGGCCCCAGGAUUUGGGGGUGUGCAUCUGUGGUGGCCACUGGCAAGGGAGUCUCAUUCAAUUCCCAUCCCUCUUCCUUAGGAGACUUAGCUCUUAGGAUCCCAGGUAUCCAGGAAACCGACAGAGCCACUGGACCUGACCAUCUCUUAUUCAAUGUGUGCUGCUCAUGCACUGACUUAAUUUUGAAAUAGCCACUUCCUUGUUCUGCUGUAAUGUCUCCUUAUAAUGAGGCUCAAAUUAGACAACUUACAUUAUGUUGAGCAUUGAUGUGUGGUGGAUGUACAAUAAAGGUUCCCUUAAGUAGGUUCUUCGUGGCCCCUCACCCUCACCCCAAACUGCCAUGGAGGACCGACAAAGUCUAUCUCAUAUUUUGGAAACACAUUUAAUCUCUUCAUUUAUCCA